This 350-nucleotide ribosomal RNA is filed under the name uncultured bacterium. Its description in RNAcentral is "bacterial SSU rRNA". It matches the Rfam family "Bacterial small subunit ribosomal RNA", at positions 29 to 406 of the family's 1533-position model. The record is from RNAcentral.
AACGAACGCUGGCGGCAGGCCUCAAACAUGCAAGUCUAGGGGGUGCAGCAAUGCAUCACCGGCGGACGGGUGCGUAACGCGUGGGAAUAUACCUUUUGGUUCGGAACAACUGCGGGAAACUGCAGCUAAUACCGAAUGUGCCCUAACGGGGAAAGAUUUAUCGCCAAAGGAUUAGCCCGCGUAGGAUUAGCUAGUUGGUGAGGUAAUGGCUCACCAAGGCUCCGAUCCUUAGCUGCUGAGAGGAAGAUCAGCCACACUGGGACUGAGACACGGCCCAGACUCCUACGGGAGGCAGCAGUUGGGAAUCUUGGACAAUGGGGGAAACCCUGAUCCAGCCAUGCCGCGUGAGU